This 77-nucleotide transfer RNA is filed under the name Rickettsiales endosymbiont of Stachyamoeba lipophora. Its description in RNAcentral is "tRNA-Arg". It matches the Rfam family "tRNA". From Rfam's summary of the family: Transfer RNA (tRNA) molecules are approximately 80 nucleotides in length. Their secondary structure includes four short double-helical elements and three loops (D, anti-codon, and T loops). Further hydrogen bonds mediate the characteristic L-shaped molecular structure. tRNAs have two regions of fundamental functional importance: the anti-codon, which is responsible for specific mRNA codon recognition, and the 3' end, to which the tRNAs corresponding amino acid is attached (by aminoacyl-tRNA synthetases). tRNAs cope with the degeneracy of the genetic code in two manners: having more than one tRNA (with a specific anti-codon) for a particular amino acid; and 'wobble' base-pairing, i.e. permitting non-standard base-pairing at the 3rd anti-codon position. Lineage: Bacteria; Pseudomonadati; Pseudomonadota; Alphaproteobacteria; Rickettsiales. The record is from RNAcentral.
GAAGCCGUAGCUCAGCAGGAUAGAGCAUCAGAUUCCUAAUCUGAGGGUCGCGCGUUCGAAUCGCGCCGGUUUCACCA